RNAcentral lists this ribosomal RNA (538 nucleotides) under Listeria monocytogenes. RNAcentral describes it as "bacterial SSU rRNA". It matches the Rfam family "Bacterial small subunit ribosomal RNA", at positions 1 to 517 of the family's 1533-position model. The record is from RNAcentral. Lineage: Bacteria; Bacillati; Bacillota; Bacilli; Caryophanales; Listeriaceae.
UAUUUUAAAGAGAGUUUGAUCCUGGCUCAGGACGAACGCUGGCGGCGUGCCUAAUACAUGCAAGUCGAACGAACGGAGGAAGAGCUUGCUCUUCCAAAGUUAGUGGCGGACGGGUGAGUAACACGUGGGCAACCUGCCUGUAAGUUGGGGAUAACUCCGGGAAACCGGGGCUAAUACCGAAUGAUAAAGUGUGGCGCAUGCCACGCUUUUGAAAGAUGGUUUCGGCUAUCGCUUACAGAUGGGCCCGCGGUGCAUUAGCUAGUUGGUAGGGUAAUGGCCUACCAAGGCAACGAUGCAUAGCCGACCUGAGAGGGUGAUCGGCCACACUGGGACUGAGACACGGCCCAGACUCCUACGGGAGGCAGCAGUAGGGAAUCUUCCGCAAUGGACGAAAGUCUGACGGAGCAACGCCGCGUGUAUGAAGAAGGUUUUCGGAUCGUAAAGUACUGUUGUUAGAGAAGAACAAGGAUAAGAGUAACUGCUUGUCCCUUGACGGUAUCUAACCAGAAAGCCACGGCUAACUACGUGCCAGCAGCCG